GGCGUGGAUAGGUUAAUUAACACAUAGCAGGUUAUUACGUAACAGAAAAGCUGUAAAAGAGGGUGGAUAGGUUAAUUAACACAUAGCAGGUUAUUACGUAACAGAAAAGCUGUAAAAGAUGGGUGGAUAGGUUAAUUAACACAUAGCAGGUUAUUACGUAACAGAAAAGCUGUAAAAGAGGGUGGAUAGGUUAAUUAACACAUAGCAGGUUAUUACGUAACAGAAAAGCUGUA
Oncorhynchus mykiss (rainbow trout) is the source of this 233-nucleotide non-coding RNA. NCBI's taxonomy places the organism in Eukaryota, Metazoa, Chordata, Actinopteri, Salmoniformes, Salmonidae. The record is from RefSeq and is a predicted model, not a curated record.